GGAUGUGAGGACAAUCUGGCCAUGACAUCUGUCACCCUAAUGAUCACCAGGGUUGAUUUGGCUGAUCUGGCUGGCUAGGCUGGUGUCCCCUUCCUUCCACAACGCUCCAUGUGCCUUCCUCCCAAAGCUGUGUGCUCGCUCAGUCGAAGAGGACCACCCCCCCAAAAGAGAAGGACCAUACCUCGGUCAAGGUUAUACGAGUAGCUGCGCUCCCCUGCUAGAACCUCCAGACAAGCUCUCAAGAAAAUAUUUUUGCACUAAGAAAUACUACUUUUAAUAAGUUUUAGUUCCAAUAUGACAGAAAUACCUAUCCAU
This 315-nucleotide small nuclear RNA is filed under the name Chinchilla lanigera (long-tailed chinchilla). RNAcentral's name for it is "7SK RNA (ENSCLAG00000022092.1)". It matches the Rfam family "7SK RNA". Rfam says of the family: 7SK was discovered as an abundant small nuclear RNA in the mid-70s but a possible function has only recently been suggested. Two independent studies have found that 7SK RNA binds the CDK9/cyclin T complex (known as elongation factor P-TEFb). The record is from Rfam by way of RNAcentral. Lineage: Eukaryota; Metazoa; Chordata; Mammalia; Rodentia; Chinchillidae.